AGAACAUUACAACAUUGUCCAUGAAGGUGCAAAAAGCGAGGGUGAAUUUUCUAGGCUUGAAUACCAGGCCAGACCCCACAUUAGAGGUUCAUCAGCCAUUAGACAUUUUGUUGCAAAAUUGCCACCAAGAGCUCAUUCCAUUUAUUAUAGGGAUGAAAUUGGGAAUAUAUCAACAUCUCAUCUGUGGGCUGAUUCUAAAAAGACAGAGUUAUUGAUUGAACCUAGAUAUCCAAUGUUUGGAGGUUGGAGAACAGCUUUUAUCAUUGGAUAUAGUUUGCCACUUCAGGACUUCUUGUUUGAGUUAGAGGGGAAACGUUUCCUAAACAUCUCUUUCUCUUCCCCUAUUAAUGAUUUGGUCAUUGAUAAUCUUGUUGUGAAGGUUGUUUUGCCUGAGGGGUCCAGAGAUUUAUCUGUUUCGACUCCAUUUCCUGUAAAGCAGAGGCAAGAGUCCAAAAUUUCCCAUCUGGAUGUUGUUGGUCGACCAGUAAUUGUGCUGGAAAAGGCUGACGUCGUGCCAGAGCAUAAUCAAUAUUUCCAGAUCCAUUACAGCUUCAACAAACUUUCAAUGCUUAGAGAGCCAUUUAUGUUGAUUUCUGGAUUUUUCUUUCUUUUUGUUGCUUGCAUUGUAUAUGUGCAUGUUGACUUGUCAAUCUCCAAGUCAUCUGCUUCUUAUUUGGCAAAACUGCAGUGGGAUGAGGUUCGAGCAACAAUUCAGCAGGUUGAGAGUAUCAUUAACCAAUGCCUAGCAACACAUGAGAAGAUUGAAGCAUCACUACGUGAUCUUUCUAGGAUAGGAGAUGUCCAAGCAUGUAAAACCACUCGCAAGACAGCUGAUGGUUUGUUGAAAGAGCAUUCAAAAGAAUUGAAGCCCUUGCUAGCAUUUCUGCAAUCAUCUCCUGCAGCUGCUAAUAUAUUGCCUAAGGUGGAGGAGUUGGUGGCUAAGGAGAGAGAAUUGCAAGAGAGGUGGAUGGCGAAACACUCAAUAAUAGUGGACUGCUAUGAGAAGAAGCUUGGGGGACGGGAAAUUGAGAACAGGGUUGCUCCACAGCAGCAAAAAGUUGUAGCCUUGAGGCAAGAGGUUGAAGAUCUUCUAGAGUACAUAGAUGAAAUAUAAUUGAAUGGAUAGAGGCGUAGUGCAACUGAGCUUCAGGGUUAGGAUUUUGGUUGGUCGUUUAUUCAAGUUAUAUUUGACGAGCUAACUGGAAUUUCGAUGGUUACGUUUUUUUAGACUAAACUUUUACAUGAUUAUGAUAAUUUGGAAUUUUGAACUUCUCCUGGGGAGCAAUUAGAG
Molecule: unclassified non-coding RNA, 1291 nt
Filed under: Hevea brasiliensis (rubber tree)
Lineage: Eukaryota; Viridiplantae; Streptophyta; Magnoliopsida; Malpighiales; Euphorbiaceae
Source: RNAcentral